UGCGAGUCAUUGUAGUAAUACAAGGCAGACGGCUCAGUAACGCGUAGUCAAUCUAACCUAUGGACGGGAAUAACCUCGGGAAACUGAGUAUAAUGCCCGAUAGAACAUUAUGCCUGGAAUGGUUUAUGUUCCAAAUGAUUUAUCGCCGUAGGAUGGGACUGCGGCCUAUCAGUUUGUUGGUGAGGUAAUGGCCCACCAAGACUAUUACAGGUACGGGCUCUGAGAGGAGUAGCCCGGAGAUGGGUACUGAGACACGGACCCAGGCCCUAUGGGGCGCAGCAGGCGAGAAAACUUUGCAAUGUGCGAAAGCACGACAAGGUUAAUCCGAGUGGUUUCUGCUAAAGGAACCUUUUGUCGGUCCUAGAAACACCGAUGAAUAAGGGGUGGGCAAGUUCUGGUGUCAGCCGCCGCGGUAAAACCAGCACCUCAAGUGGUCAGGAUGAUUAUUGGGCCUAAAGCAUCCGUAGCCGGCUCUGUAAGUUUUCGGUUAAAUCUGUACGCUUAACGUACAGGCUGCCGGGAAUACUGCAGAGCUAGGGAGUGGGAGAGGUAGACGGUACUCGGUAGGAAGGGGUAAAAUCCUUUGAUCUAUUGAUGACCACCUGUGGCGAAGGCGGUCUACCAGAACACGUCCGACGGUGAGGGAUGAAAGCUGGGGGAGCAAACCGGAUUAGAUACCCGGGUAGUCCCAGCUGUAAACUAUGCAAACUCAGUGAUGCAUUGGCUUGUGGCCAAUGCAGUGCUGCAGGGAAGCCGUUAAGUUUGCCGCCUGGGAAGUACGUACGCAAGUAUGAAACUCAAAGGAAUUGACGG
This 813-nucleotide ribosomal RNA is filed under the name uncultured crenarchaeote. RNAcentral describes it as "bacterial SSU rRNA". It matches the Rfam family "Archaeal small subunit ribosomal RNA", at positions 52 to 871 of the family's 1478-position model. Lineage: Archaea; Thermoproteati; Thermoproteota. The record is from RNAcentral.